CUUAUCCUUUGUUGCCAGCGAUUAGGUCGGGAACUCAAAGGAGACUGCCAGUGAUAAACUGGAGGAAGGUGGGGAUGACGUCAAGUCAUCAUGGCCCUUACGACCAGGGCUACACACGUGCUACAAUGGCGCAUACAAAGAGAAGCGACCUCGCGAGAGCAAGCGGACCUCAUAAAGUGCGUCGUAGUCCGGAUUGGAGUCUGCAACUCGACUCCAUGAAGUCGGAAUCGCUAGUAAUCGUGGAUCAGAAUGCCACGGUGAAUACGUUCCCGGGCCUUGUACACACCGCCCGUCACACCAUGGGAGUGGGUUGCAAAAGAAGUAGGUAGCUUAACCUUCGGGAGGGCGCUUACCACUUUGUGAUUCAUGACUGGGGUGAAGUCGUAACAAGGUAACCGUAGGGGAACCUGCGGUUGGAUCACCUCCUUACCUUAAAGAA
This 439-nucleotide ribosomal RNA is filed under the name Salmonella enterica subsp. enterica serovar Bovismorbificans. Its description in RNAcentral is "partial 16S ribosomal RNA". It matches the Rfam family "Bacterial small subunit ribosomal RNA", at positions 1104 to 1533 of the family's 1533-position model. Lineage: Bacteria; Pseudomonadati; Pseudomonadota; Gammaproteobacteria; Enterobacterales; Enterobacteriaceae. RNAcentral also lists the same sequence under 1 other name. The record is from RNAcentral.